CCUACGGGAGGCAGCAGUGGGGAAUUUUGCGCAAUGGACGAAAGUCUGACGCAGCAACGCCGCGUGGGUGAUGAAGGUCUUCGGACUGUAAAACCCUGUCGUCAGGGACGAAGGUGGGGGCGUUAAUAGCGCUUUCAUUUGACGGUACCUGGAGAGGAAGCCCCGGCUAACUCUGUGCCAGCAGCCGCGGUAAUACAGAGGGGGCAAGCGUUAUUCGGAAUUAUUGGGCGUAAAGGGCGCGUAGGCGGUUUUUUAAGUCAGAUGUGUAAUCCCCGAGCUUAACUUGGGAACUGCAUCUGAGACUGGAAGGCUGGAGUACUGGAGAGGGUGGUGGAAUUCCUCGUGUAGCGGUGAAAUGCGUAGAGAUGAGGAGGAACACCAGUGGCGAAGGCGGCCCACCUGGACAGUAACUGACGCUGAGGCGCGAAAGUGUGGGUAGCAAACAGGAUUAGAUACCCUGGUAGUCCACGCCCUAAACGAUGUCAACUGGUUGUUGGGUCUUUACUGACUCAGUAACGAAGCUAACGCGUGAAGUUGACCGCCUGGGGAGUACGGCCGCAAGGUUGAAACUCAAAGGAAUUGACGGGGACCCGCACAAGCGGUGGAUGACGUGGUUUAAUUCGAUGCAACGCGAAAAACCUUACCCACCUUUGACAUGUACGGAAUCCUUUAGAGAUAGAGGAGUGCUCGAAAGAGAGCCGUAACACAGGUGCUGCAUGGCUGUCGUCAGCUCGUGUCGUGAGAUGUUGGGUUAAGUCCCGCAACGAGCGCAACCCUUGUCAUUAGUUGCUACAUUCAGUUGGGCACUCUAACGAGACUGCCGGUGACAAGCCGGAGGAAGGUGGGGAUGACGUCAAGUCCUCAUGGCCCUUAUAGGUGGGGCUACACACGUCAUACAAUGGCUGGUACAAAGGGUUGCCAACCCGCGAGGGGGAGCUAAUCCCAUAAAGCCAGUCGUAGUCCGGAUCGUAGUCUGCAACUCGACUGCGUGAAGUCGGAAUCGCUAGUAAUCGUGGAUCAGAAUGUCACGGUGAAUACGUUCCCGGGUCUUGUACACACCGCCCGU
This 1066-nucleotide ribosomal RNA is filed under the name uncultured bacterium. Its description in RNAcentral is "bacterial SSU rRNA". It matches the Rfam family "Bacterial small subunit ribosomal RNA", at positions 338 to 1397 of the family's 1533-position model. The record is from RNAcentral.